RNAcentral lists this transfer RNA (73 nucleotides) under Celerinatantimonas diazotrophica. It matches the Rfam family "tRNA". Rfam says of the family: Transfer RNA (tRNA) molecules are approximately 80 nucleotides in length. Their secondary structure includes four short double-helical elements and three loops (D, anti-codon, and T loops). Lineage: Bacteria; Pseudomonadati; Pseudomonadota; Gammaproteobacteria; Celerinatantimonadaceae. The record is from Rfam by way of RNAcentral.
GGGCUGUUAGCUCAGUUGGUAGAGCAGUUGACUUUUAAUCAAUUGGUCGCAGGUUCGAAUCCUGCACAGCCCA